This 253-nucleotide ribosomal RNA is filed under the name uncultured bacterium. RNAcentral describes it as "partial 16S ribosomal RNA". It matches the Rfam family "Bacterial small subunit ribosomal RNA", at positions 524 to 776 of the family's 1533-position model. The record is from RNAcentral.
UACGUAGGGGGCGAGCGUUGUCCGGAUUUAUUGGGCGUAAAGAGCGUGUAGGCGGUUCGGUAAGUCUGUCGUGAAAUCCUGAGGCUCAACCUCGGGCGUGCGAUGGAUACUGCCGGGCUAGAGGAUGGUAGAGGCGAGUGGAAUUCCCGGUGUAGAGGUGAAAUUCGUAGAUAUUCGCAAGAACACCAGUGGCGAAGGCGGCUCACUGGCCCGAUACUGACGCUGAGGCACGAAAGCGUGGGGAGCAAACAGG